CUGGGUAUGGCUCAGUGGUAGAGCACUUCCCUAGCAUGCAAGAGGCCCUGAGUUCCCUCCCUAUAUUCAAA
Molecule: transfer RNA, 71 nt
Filed under: Marmota monax (woodchuck)
Lineage: Eukaryota; Metazoa; Chordata; Mammalia; Rodentia; Sciuridae
Description: tRNA.Ala
Source: RNAcentral